RNAcentral lists this long non-coding RNA (5535 nucleotides) under Homo sapiens (human). RNAcentral's name for it is "HSALNT0035431". The record is from RNAcentral. Lineage: Eukaryota; Metazoa; Chordata; Mammalia; Primates; Hominidae.
GUCCUAGGGGAGGGAUAGCAUUAGUAGAAAUACCUAAUGUAGCUGAUGGGUUGAUGGGUACAGUAAACCACCAUGGCAUAUGUGUGCCUAUGUAAAAAACCUGCAUGUUCUUCACAUAUAUCCCAGAACUUAAGGUAUAAUACAAAACAAACAAACCAACAUUAAUUCAGGUUGUUGGUUACCUGUAGGCAAUGAAUUGUAGUAGUAUAAAAGAUUCUAAAGUUAAAACAGCUCAGAAUCAUUGCUUUAAAACAAUGUAUCUACCAAAGAGUCACCAAAAAAUGAUUAAUGACUUUAUUCAUUUUCCAGAAUCAGAGGUAUCACACACACCCAAACUCACAAACGAAAGCACACACGCACAUACACAUGCAGAAAUUCAAGCUGGUAAUCAGAGCAUGUGAUUGGGUGAAGAUUCAAAGGUUCUCAGUGUGACAACACUGACAUAAAGAAGUUAAAGUUCUAACACAAUUGUAAUGUCAGCAGGUAUAGCUUUCCUCUAGGUAAAGGACAGUAUUGCAACGAGAAAUUGAAGCACUGAAAAAUAUUUAUAGUUUCAAAAUUCACCUCCUUGAACCCCUAACAUGCAUACAAAUUCCACAUUGGGAUCUUUAUCACAACCUAAAAGGAAAAGCAUCUGAGCUAGAGCUCACAUUUUUAAAAUUUCUUUUCCUUAUUCUUCUAAAUAUCAUUUUAUAAGCACAGACACUAACAACAGCAUCAGCAUCAUUUAGAUCAAAUCCUUCUACCUUAUGGGGGGAAAAGAAGUAAGAAUCAGAAGAUUAUGAACAUUUCCAAUAUAUUCAUGUCCUUCUUUCCAGAUGAAAUUUGUAUUGGCAAAUUUACCUUUUCCUGGAGGUGGUGAAUCCUUCCUUCUUAUGGCUACUUUUGAACUGGGAUCUGCUUCUUUCAGGGUAAGCUGAAUGGGUUUUACAACAUAAUGAUUAAUAUAUCAUGUAUAUAUCACAAAGAUGAAAAUAUAUUUGUUUACUGUGGAUAAAGGAGGUUGCUCAGAAGAUUCUACAAAGCAAAAGGGACACAUAAUUAAGUACACGUAAAUAUGACACAGCCCACCAUCCACUAUGUAGUGUUUGUAUCCAGCUGAAAUCUUCAUGCUUGGUCUUGAAACCGUUACCUAUUAGGCUCUGGGUUGCUUUUGCUCUUGUUUUGGUUAGCAUACAGACAUGGCAGGAACAUACACAUGGAAAUCACAAUAUAGGUUUCAUAAAACAUGUAGUCCAGAUUUCAAGAGAGAGAUUAGGUUUCACAUGACUACAACUAACACAGAAAAGUACUUCUACCAAUGUGAUCCUCUUAACUGAAGCCAAAAAAUGUGAUGUCAGACGAAAGGACCAAAUAGGACCCCAGAAGGAUAUAUGUCAAAGCCCAUGGUAGAACGCUAUGGUGUACCCUGAAGAAAUCACCCAAGAACCAUUUAUACUAUAAUACUACAAUAGUUCUCCUGUUCUUCAUUUUGUCCUCUAACUUAAAAACUAUCAAUUUCAUUAAAAUGUAUCAUUCACUUCUGCUUGAAGGAUGUAUUCUCAGUUCAUUAGUUCAGAUAUCUACAUACAGAAGCAUAGUUAACAAAAAUACUCAUGUUGUCCAGUCAUGCAGGCUUCUGGUGUUUUUCCAUUUCCUGGAUUCUCAACUUUAGCCCUCCUGCCAUCUCUUCAUUCACUUAUGCAAAAAAUGUAUACAUUACACUCCAAAUACCUAAUGUGUAAUUAGAUUCCCAUAAAACAAAUCUAACCAAAAUAUUUGAAACAUCAGAGGCUUCAUGUUAAUCACCUUUUAUAUAUAAAAAUAUUUGCCAUGAUUAUUGAGUUACAUUUUAACAAACCUGCACGUUGUGCACAUGUACCCUAAAACUUAAAGUACAAUAAUAAUAAAAUUUAAAAAUAAAUAAAUAAAUAAUACUUAAGAAAUAUAUUUCUUGAUUGUUUUGCUUCCACAGUCAGUUUGACAUGCAGUGCAUCGCAUUUUGCUAACAUGAAGCACCUGUCCUAUUGUCGAUGUGUGACCCCUACAGAGAGAAGAAUUGAGUCCCUGUGGUUGACUCUCAUUCUUCCACCUUCUGCUUCCAGUAAGCUCUGAAGCAACAAUAAUCCAAUAUUCUGUUCGAGUGCGAAUAUACCAGGUCCACAUAAAGUGAGUUUUCUCAGGUUUCCUCAUCAGAAACCCCCAAACACCUAGCCAGCUGCUAUCUUUAUUUACACCAUCCCACCCCACUUGCACUCUUUUUUGUUGAUAAAUCUAAUCUCACUAUCCGGUCUUCAUUCUUUGCCUUCCACAUUUUGUUCUUCAUUAUUCUCACCACCCCUGUGAUUAAACCAGUAAAAUCUUGUUUUUAUAAAUAUGAAGAUAUGGUUUUCCUUUAUUAGAAUAUAAAAGUUACAGAAAAUGGACUAACUUGUACAAAUUCCUUCUUCACAAUAGCAGCCCCAUGUCCUCCUCUCUCCCAUAGACACACUGUUUCAUAGUUUCUAUUCACUCACAUCAGUUUCAUUGAAUAUCAACUCUCAUUUUAUCUUUAUGGCUUUAUUUUACACUAGGGGUUAUUAUCAAAGACUCAGCAAACUAUGUUACGUAUUUUCUUCUACAUGAGAGGUUACUGAGCAGUAAAUAAGAAUUUCUUUGGAUAUAAACACUUUUAUGUACACAAACUUUUUAUGAAGCUAAUUUAUGGUUAAAUACACAUUACACAAUUAUGUGUUAUGUGUUCCAGAGAAACAGGCUCUAAAAUUUUAUUAAACAUAUUUAAUUUAAAAACUUCUGCAAUUACAAUGACAUAGUCUCUGCUCAAUGCAGCAACAUCUUCAGAAAUCACUUGUGAAGACUUGGGAAAAUGUCAGUCAUUUACGUGAAAAAUGAGAGCAUUAAGUGACAACACUGCUUGCUGGUAUAAAUAAGACAAGGCUAGAUCCUUACCAGAUUCAAAGAGAUCAGAGUGCCAUGAGACAGAAACAAAUAUAUAAAACAGAAAGAUUUUCAUUUCUACCCAAAAAUCGUGUAUUUAAAGUUUUCAGAAAAGGACAAAAUGCAAGAAAACACAGCAGUGAGGCGUUACAGAGGAUUUCUUCAUCUGGAGACUAUUUAUCAUUUGACAUUCGGAAACCCUUUAUAGGGCCCAACAAAGGGGUUCUAAAACUGUGAUUUGAUCAUUCCUGGAGUUCAACAUCUAUGUAAGGAAGCCAAGGUACCAAAUGAUACUUUGGCCAUUUCUUCUUUCCAAUGUCAUUCUCUGAAAAGCAUACUCUGGGGUUUUUCAGAGUCAUAACAUGAUGGAAAAACAUGGCUCUAAGGAGUAAUGAAUAUAGUCAAUACAGCUAUGGCAGUGUACAUAGCUAUAUUCAGGGUAUCUGAAAUACUUCUAUUUAAUUUCUUAUAUAGUACAAAUCAAUAAACGCAACCACAUAAGCAAAUCUAUGUUGGUAUGUCAUCGUAUUUAUGUUCAUUUUGUAUCAGCAUGAAGAGACUUUAAUUAAUUGUGGUGCAGUCAUAAAAUGGCAUACCACAAGACCACACAACAAAUCAAAGAUGACCAAAUUGUGUCAACCUGAAUAGAUCUGAAAUAUAUACCACUGAUUAGAAAAGCCGAGUUGCAGCUAUUAUGUACGCUGUGUGAAAUCGUAUAGAAGACUUGAUACUUGGAAACAGAUUCUACACAUUACCUAUGAAAGUGCAAGUAUCUUGUAAAGUAUUUUUAAUGUGCAUUGCAGUGAUUUAAAAGAAAAAACGUUAAUUCAGGCUGUUGGUUACCUGUAGGCAAUAAAUUGUAGUAGAAGAAAAUAUUCUAAGGCCAAAACAGCUCAGAAUCAUUGUUUUAAAACACUGUAUCUACCAAAGAGUUACAAAAGAAUGAUUAAUCAUUUUAUUCAUUUUUAAUCAGAGAUACACACACACAUGCAGAAACUCAAUCUGGUAAUCAGAAGAUGUGAUUAAGUAAAGAUUCUCAAUGUAACAACACUGACAUAAAGGAGUUGAAGUUCUAAAACAAUUGUAACGUCAGCAGGUAUAGCUUUUCUCUAGAUGAAGAAGAGAGAAGAAUAUUGCAAUCAAUUUUGAAGCACUGAAAAUAUUUAGUGUCAAAAUACACCUCCUCAAAUCCCUAACAUGCACAGGAAUUCAAAACUGGGAUCUUUAGAUGAUGACAACUUUAAAGGAAAAGCAUUUGGGCUAGAGCUUAAGGUGUAAAAUGUCUGUCUUAUGCCUUAAAUAUCAUUUUAUAAACAAAGAUAUUAACAAGAACAUCAGCAUAUUUACAUCAAAUCCUUCCAUCUCAUUUGGAAAAAAAGUGGGAAUCAAAAAACAUGAGCAUUUUCAAUAUUUUCAUCUACAUUUUCUAGAAUGAAAUUUGUAGUGGCAAAUUUACCUUCGCUGAAGUUAGUGAAUCCAUACUUCCUAAGAAUCUAGUUGAAAUGUGAUCUCUGUCUUUCACCGGAUGCUGAAUGGGUUUGACAACAUAAUGAUUAACAUAUCAUGUAUAUAUCACAGAACAUUUUGUUAAUAAUUAAAGAAAAUAUGUUUACUGUGAAUAAAGGCGGUUGCUCAGGAGACACUACAAAGCAAAAGGAACACAUAAUUGACUACAGGUAAAUAUGACACAGCCUACCAUCAAUCAUGCAGUGUUUGUAUCCAGCUGAAAUCUUCGUGCUUGCCCUUGAAAUUGUUACCCAUUAGGCUUUGGGUUGCUUUGCUCUUGUUUUGGUUAGCACACAAACAUGACAGGAAUAUACACAUGAAAAAUCACAAUAUAGAUUCUAUAAAACAUGCAGUUCAGAUUGCAAGGGUGAGAUUAGGUUUCACAUGACUACAAGUAGCAUAGAAAAGUAUUUCUACCAAUGUGAAUCUGCUGGAUGAAGCCAAAAAAAGUGAUGUCAAAUGAGAGAACCAAAUCGGACCCCAGAAGAAUAAAUGUUAGAAACUAUGAAGUUGCAAUGAGAGUGCAUGAAAAUGUAUCAUUCACGGCCGGGCGUGGUGGCUCACCUUAAUCAACUUUUACAUAUCAAAAUCUUUGCCAUGAUUAUUGACAGUUACACUUUUAGUAUUCAAGAAAUAAAUUUCUCGUUUGUUUUUUCUAAAGUCAGUUUGAUAUGGUAUAGCAUAGCAGCCUCUGAGGUACCUUUAUACAAUGGCUAUUUCAUCAAAAACAGCAUUUUUUUAAAGAAAACCGCCAAUGUUUUGAUAUCCAAGUGCAUCCCAGUUAACUAACAAACAUGAAUGAAGCACAUAUGAUUGAUGUGUAACCCCUAUAGAGAGAAGAAAUGAGUUCCUGUGGUUUCCUGCUGUUCUUCUACCCUCUGCUUCCAGUAAGCUCCAAAGCAGCAAUAAUUUAAUCUUCUUUUUGAGUGGGAAUAUACUGAGUCUACAUAAAGUGAGUUCCCUCAAGUUUCCUCAUCAGAAACCUCCAAAUUACCUAGCCAGCUACUUUCUUAAUUUACACCAUCCCGCCUCACAUUUUUUUGUAAAUCUAAUGUCCAUUUCUCAACAAUGAAUAUUAUAUUUUGAUCUACAAGUUUAAAUGUUCAUCAAAGU